GGAACUGCAUUCGAAACUGGCAGGCUAGAGUCUUGUAGAGGGGGGUAGAAUUCCAGGUGUAGCGGUGAAAUGCGUAGAGAUCUGGAGGAAUACCGGUGGCGAAGGCGGCCCCCUGGACAAAGACUGACGCUCAGGUGCGAAAGCGUGGGGAGCAAACAGGAUUAGAUACCCUGGUAGUCCACGCCGUAAACGAUGUCGAUUUGGAGGUUGUGCCCUUGAGGCGUGGCUUCCGGAGCUAACGCGUUAAAUCGACCGCCUGGGGAGUACGGCCGCAAGGUUAAAACUCAAAUGAAUUGACGGGGGCCCGCACAAGCGGUGGAGCAUGUGGUUUAAUUCGAUGCAACGCGAAGAACCUUACCUGGUCUUGACAUCCACAGAACUU
RNAcentral lists this ribosomal RNA (382 nucleotides) under Klebsiella quasipneumoniae subsp. similipneumoniae. RNAcentral's name for it is "bacterial SSU rRNA". It matches the Rfam family "Bacterial small subunit ribosomal RNA", at positions 617 to 998 of the family's 1533-position model. Lineage: Bacteria; Pseudomonadati; Pseudomonadota; Gammaproteobacteria; Enterobacterales; Enterobacteriaceae. The record is from RNAcentral.